AGGUUAACCGUAUAGGGGAGCCGUAGAGAAAUCGAGUCUUAAUAGGGCGUUUAGUUGCUGGGUAUAGACCCGAAACCAGGCGAUCUAUCCAUGAGCAGGUUGAAGGUUGGGUAACACUAACUGGAGGACCGAACCCACUGUCGUUGAAAAGCCAGGGGAUGACUUGUGGAUAGGGGUGAAAGGCUAAUCAAGCCUGGUGAUAGCUGGUUCUCCCCGAAAGCUAUUUAGGUAGCGCCUCGGACGAAUACCAUAGGGGGUAGAGCACUGUUUCGGCUAGGGGGUCAUCCCGACUUACCAAACCGAUGCAAACUCCGAAUACCUAUGAGUACUAUCCGGGAGACAGACUGCGGGUGCUAACGUCCGUAGUCAAGAGGAAAACAAUCCAGACCGCCAGCUAAGGCCCCAAAAUCAUAGUUAAGUGGGAAACGAUGUGGGAAGGCAUAGACAGCUAGGAGGUUGGCUUAGAAGCAGCCACCCUUUAAAGAAAGCGUAAUAGCUCACUAGUCGAGUCGGCCUGCGCGGAAGAUGUAACGGGGCUAAAACUAUGUGCCGAAGCUGCGGAUUUGACAUUAGUCAAGUGGUAGGGGAGCGUUCUGUAAGCCGAUGAAGGUGU
RNAcentral lists this ribosomal RNA (613 nucleotides) under Acinetobacter baumannii. RNAcentral describes it as "partial 23S ribosomal RNA". It matches the Rfam family "Bacterial large subunit ribosomal RNA", at positions 643 to 1259 of the family's 2925-position model. Lineage: Bacteria; Pseudomonadati; Pseudomonadota; Gammaproteobacteria; Moraxellales; Moraxellaceae. The record is from RNAcentral.